AGCUCCAAUAGCGUAUAUUAAAGUUGUUGCAGUUAAAAAGCUCGUAGUUGGAUUUCUGGGAGGGUGCCGCCGUCCGGCGUGUCCGUGUGCAGUGGCGCCCUUCCAUCCUUCUGUUAGCGUCUCUUGGCAUUCAUUUGCUGGUGGCGGGCUCAGAUAUUUUACCUUGAGAAAAUUAGAGUGUUUCAGGCAGGCUAGGCCGGAAUACAUUAGCAUGGAAUAAUGGAAUAGGACUACGGUCUCUUUGUUGGUUUGAGGGACUGCAGUAAUGAUUAAUAGGGAUAGUUGGGGGCAUUAGUAUUUAAUUGUCAGAGGUGGAAUUCUCAGAUUUGUUAAAGACUAACUUAUGCGAAAGCAUUUGCCAAGGAUGUUUUCA
This 373-nucleotide ribosomal RNA is filed under the name uncultured eukaryote. Its description in RNAcentral is "SSU rRNA". It matches the Rfam family "Eukaryotic small subunit ribosomal RNA", at positions 587 to 972 of the family's 1831-position model. The record is from RNAcentral.